GGCGCGUUGACAGAGAGGUUAUGUAGCGGACUGCAAAUCCGUUUAGCUCGGUUCAAGCCCGAGACGCGCCU
Molecule: transfer RNA, 71 nt
Filed under: Candidatus Blochmanniella vafra str. BVAF
Lineage: Bacteria; Pseudomonadati; Pseudomonadota; Gammaproteobacteria; Enterobacterales; Enterobacteriaceae
Description: tRNA-Cys (GCA) (tRNA-Cys-GCA-1-1)
Rfam family: tRNA
About the family: Transfer RNA (tRNA) molecules are approximately 80 nucleotides in length. Their secondary structure includes four short double-helical elements and three loops (D, anti-codon, and T loops).
Source: RNAcentral